GACGAACGCUGGCGGCGUGCUUAACACAUGCAAGUCGAACGGAAAGGCCCUGCUUUUGUGGGGUGCUCGAGUGGCGAACGGGUGAGUAACACGUGAGUAACCUGCCCUUGACUUUGGGAUAACUUCAGGAAACUGGGGCUAAUACCGGAUAGGAGCUCCUGCUGCAUGGUGGGGGUUGGAAAGUUUCGGCGGUUGGGGAUGGACUCGCGGCUUAUCAGCUUGUUGGUGGGGUGUGGCCUACCAAGGGUUUGGCGGGUAGCCGGCCUGGGAGGGUGACCGGCCACAUUGGGACUGAGAUACGGCCCAGACUCCUACGGGAGGCAGCAGUGGGGAAUAUUGCACAAUGGGCGGAAGCCUGAUGCAGCAACGCCGCGUGCGGGAUGACGGCCUUCGGGUUGUAAACCGCUUUCGCCUGUGACGAAGCGUGAGUGACGGUAAUGGGUAAAGAAGCACCGGCUAACUACGUG
RNAcentral lists this ribosomal RNA (467 nucleotides) under uncultured bacterium. RNAcentral describes it as "partial 16S ribosomal RNA". It matches the Rfam family "Bacterial small subunit ribosomal RNA", at positions 28 to 507 of the family's 1533-position model. The record is from RNAcentral.